This 447-nucleotide ribosomal RNA is filed under the name uncultured bacterium. Its description in RNAcentral is "bacterial SSU rRNA". It matches the Rfam family "Bacterial small subunit ribosomal RNA", at positions 329 to 792 of the family's 1533-position model. The record is from RNAcentral.
CCCCAGACUCCUACGGGAGGCAGCAGUGGGGAAUAUUGGGCAAUGGGCGCAAGCCUGACCCAGCGACGCCGCGUGAGGGAAGACGGUCUUCGGUAUGUAAAGCUCUAUCAGCAGGGAAGAAGAAAGACGGUACCUGACUAAGAAGCCCCGGCUAACUACGUGCCAGCAGCCGCGGUAAUACGUAGGGGGCAAGCGUUAUCCGGAUUUACUGGGUGUAAAGGGAGCGUAGACGGCUGUGCAAGUCUGAAGUGAAAGCCCGUGGCUCAACCGCGGAACUGCUUUGGAAACUGUAUAGCUUGAGUACUGGAGAGGCAGGCGGAAUUCCUAGUGUAGCGGUGAAAUGCGUAGAUAUUAGGAGGAACACCAGUGGCGAAGGCGGCCUGCUGGACAGAAACUGACGUUGAGGCUCGAAAGCGUGGGGAGCAAACAGGAUUAGAUACCCCUGUA